GUCCACACUGUAAACGAUGGAUACUAGGUGUAGGAGGUAUCGACCCUUCUGUGCCGCAGUUAACACAAUAAGUAUCCCACCUGGGAGUACGAACGCAAGUUUGAAACUCAAAGGAAUUGACGGGGCCCGCACAAGCAGUGGAGUAUGUGGUUUAAUUCGAAGCAACGCGAAGAACCUUACCAGGUCUUGACAUCCUUGGAAUCCUUAAGAGAUUAGGGAGUGCCUUCGGGAGCCAAGAGACAGGUGGUGCAUGGUUGUCGU
RNAcentral lists this ribosomal RNA (261 nucleotides) under uncultured bacterium. RNAcentral's name for it is "partial 16S ribosomal RNA". It matches the Rfam family "Bacterial small subunit ribosomal RNA", at positions 793 to 1055 of the family's 1533-position model. The record is from RNAcentral.